AACGCUGGCGGCGUGCUUAACACAUGCAAGUCGAACGCGAAAGGGACUUCGGUCCUGAGUAAAGUGGCGCACGGGUGAGUAACGCGUAGAUAACCUGUCUUCAUGGUCUGGAAUAAUACGCCGAAAGGGGUACUAAUACCGGAUAUUCUUGCUUUUCAUAAGUUAUGCAAGCAAAGGUGGCCUCUGCAUAUGCUACUGCAUGAAGAGGGGUCUGCGUACCAUUAGCUAGUAGGUGGGGUAAUGGCCUACCUAGGCGACGAUGGUUAGCGGGUCUGAGAGGAUGAUCCGCCACACUGGCACUGGAACACGGGCCAGACUCCUACGGGAGGCAGCAGUGAGGAAUAUUGCGCAAUGGGGGAAACCCUGACGCAGCGACGCCGCGUGAGUGAGGAAGGCCUUCGGGUCGUAAAGCUCUGUCAAGAGGAAAGAAGUGUACAAUGGCUAAUACCUGUUGUAUUUGACGGUACCUCUAAAGGAAGCACCGGCUAACUCCGUGCCAGCCGCCGC
This 507-nucleotide ribosomal RNA is filed under the name uncultured bacterium. RNAcentral describes it as "bacterial SSU rRNA". It matches the Rfam family "Bacterial small subunit ribosomal RNA", at positions 32 to 518 of the family's 1533-position model. The record is from RNAcentral.